UUAAAGGCUCUUUUUGGAGCUACAUUCUUUUCCUUAUAUUAUGUUG
Rattus norvegicus (Norway rat) is the source of this 46-nucleotide non-coding RNA. NCBI's taxonomy places the organism in Eukaryota, Metazoa, Chordata, Mammalia, Rodentia, Muridae. The record is from Rfam.